ACUCCUACGGGAGGCAGCAGUAGGGAAUCUUCGGCAAUGGACGAAAGUCUGACCGAGCAACGCCGCGUGAGUGAAGAAGGUUUUCGGAUCGUAGAACUCUGUUGGUAGAGAAGAACGUUGGUGAGAGUGGAAAGCUCAUCAAGUGACGGUAACUACCCAGAAAGGGACGGCUAACUACGUGCCAGCAGCCGCGGUAAUACA
Molecule: ribosomal RNA, 201 nt
Filed under: uncultured bacterium
Lineage: Bacteria
Description: partial 16S ribosomal RNA
Rfam family: Bacterial small subunit ribosomal RNA
Source: RNAcentral